Molecule: ribosomal RNA, 492 nt
Filed under: uncultured bacterium
Lineage: Bacteria
Description: partial 16S ribosomal RNA
Rfam family: Bacterial small subunit ribosomal RNA
Source: RNAcentral
GAUGAACGCUAGCUACAGGCUUAACACAUGCAAGUCGAGGGGAAACGACAUCGAAAGCUUGCUUUUGAUGGGCGUCGACCGGCGCACGGGAGAGUAACGCGUAUCCAACCUGCCCACCACUUGGGGAUAACCUUGCGAAAGUAAGACUAAUACCCAAUGACGUCUCUAGAAGACAUCUGAAAGAGAUUAAAGAUUUAUCGGUGAUGGAUGGGGAUGCGUCUGAUUAGCUUGUUGGCGGUGUAACGGCCCACCAAGGCGACGAUCAGUAGGGGUUCUGAGAGGAAGGUCCCCCAGAGGGGAACUGGGACACGGUCCAAACUCCUACGGGAGGCAGCAGUGAGGAAUAUUGGUCAAUGGACGAGAGUCUGAACCAGCCAAGUAGCGUGCAGGAUGGCGGCCCUAUGGGUUGUAAACUGCUUUUAUAAGGGAAUAAAGUGAGUCUCGUGAGACUUUUUGCAUGUACCUUAUGAAUAAGGACCGGCUAAUUCCGUG